Molecule: long non-coding RNA, 1156 nt
Filed under: Sus scrofa (pig)
Lineage: Eukaryota; Metazoa; Chordata; Mammalia; Artiodactyla; Suidae
Description: lncRNA (ENSSSCG00035006757.1)
Source: RNAcentral
CCCGUAUGAGGAGAGGGCCCGGGCUGAGGCUGACAGGGCCAGGGUUCCAUCCAUGCUCCUGCUCUGGGCUGGCAGCUCCACCUGGUGUGGAAUAGUCUGGGGGUCUGACCUGGGUGGACCUGUCAGGGGUGAGAAUAGAGCUUUGCACGGUUAUAAAUACAACAGGUAUCAUUUAUUGAGUGGUUAGGAUGUGCCAAGCCCCGCAUCAUGAUUUUUUACCUGCAUAAUUAUGCUUAACCCCUCAGCAGUCCUAUGAGGCAGGUAACUAAUAACAUCUCUGAUUUUGGUGGGGGUUUGGGCGGGGGACGGCAAGGCUCAGGAUCAGAACUAGGAGGUAGGAUUCAAACCCAAGUCUGCCCUGGAGCCAAGCUCCUACUGCCUACAUUGUACUGUCUCCUUGACUGGGUCCUCUCGAUGCCACCUCCUCCCAAAAGUCUUCCCAGAUUGCCUGAGCCUGAGUUAGGGUUCUCUGUCUGUGUCCCCACAGCCUCACCGUCUGAGUGCCGGUCCCACCGAGUUGUAGUUGCCCGGUUACGUCUCUGAGAACAGAGACUUGCGAGGGCGGAGGGCUUUCUGCCAUCAUCCCUGAUGGCCCCCUAACAUGUAACGUGGUACCUGUGCCAAGCGUGCAGGCAGGGCACUGCGCCCUGAUUCUCCACUCCGGGUGUGGGAUAUUAGGGACGUGACACAGACAUUUGGCUGGCUGGACAUCCAGAGAGGCCCUCUUAGAUGUGGCUCACAGCAGAAGCUGCAGGACCUCUGGGUCCCCGAGCUUCAAAUCCCAGGAGGACGGGAUGCCCUGGGGCCUGGGUCACGUUUGAGUGCUGUUCUGGGGACUCCGUGUGAGAUGAAAACACACAGCCUCGGUUUUCACCUCCUCAGCCCUCGGGUCCCGGGCAGCCCUGGCCAAGCCCAGCCUGCCCUUUCUUUUCUUUCUCCUCUUCAGCAUCACUUUUCAAAUGUCUUCCCCUCUCACCUGGGAACUUCCAUAUGCUGCAGGUGUGGCCCUUAAAAAAAAAAAAAAAAAAAAAAAAAAAAAGAGCACAUUUUGAAGAGAAUAUCUGUAUUUUUUCCAAAACAAAAUUUUAGUGAGAAGAAUGGCACUGCUUUAUAUGUAUAUAUAUAUAUAUAUUUUUUUCUCUCUUUUUGCCAUUUC